This 87-nucleotide transfer RNA is filed under the name Coniochaeta pulveracea. RNAcentral describes it as "tRNA-Asn". It matches the Rfam family "tRNA". From Rfam's summary of the family: Transfer RNA (tRNA) molecules are approximately 80 nucleotides in length. Their secondary structure includes four short double-helical elements and three loops (D, anti-codon, and T loops). The record is from RNAcentral. Lineage: Eukaryota; Fungi; Ascomycota; Sordariomycetes; Coniochaetales; Coniochaetaceae.
UCUCCCCUAGCUCAGCUGGUUAGAGCGUUCGACUGUUACUUGGAAGCCGCAAUCGAGAGGUCGACAGUUCAAUCCUGUCGGGGAGAG